RNA transcript from Gorilla gorilla gorilla (western lowland gorilla), 2501 nucleotides. It is a transcript of the gene named dynein cytoplasmic 2 light intermediate chain 1, with no coding region annotated. The record is from RefSeq and is a predicted model, not a curated record. Lineage: Eukaryota; Metazoa; Chordata; Mammalia; Primates; Hominidae. The transcript has 16 exons.
CCCAUGGCAACCCAGAAGGCCUCACUCCCAGACUCCUUGCGGAGCUCGCCGCCUGAUUCUAGGCUGGUCACUACUCCGAGCCUGUGACGUUUGCGGCAGCCAGGCCGUCGACGAUGCCCAGUGAAACUCUCUGGGAAGUUGCAAAAGCUGAAGUGGAAAAAAGGGGAAUUAAUGGAAGUGAAGGUGAUGGAGCUGAAAUUGCAGAAAAAUCUGUUUUCUUCAUUGGCAGUAAAAAUGGGGGAAAGACUACUAUUAUUCUAAGGUGUCUUGACAGAGAUGAACCACCAAAACCAACCUUAGCUUUGGAAUAUACAUAUGGAAGAAGAGCAAAAGGGCACAACAGACCAAAAGAUAUCGCUCACUUUUGGGAACUCGGUGGAGGAACCUCUUUAUUGGACUUAAUCAGCAUACCCAUCACAAGUGACACCUUACGGAUGUUUUCUCUUGUUCUCGUUCUGGAUCUUUCAAAACCUAAUGAUCUCUGGCCCACCAUGGAAAAUCUCUUGCAAGCCACAAAAAGCCAUGUAGACAAAGUGAUAAUGAAACUGGGAAAGACAAAUGCUAAAGCAGUUUCUGAAAUGAGACAGAAGAUCUGGAAUAAUAUGCAGAAGGAUCAUCCUGAUCGUGAAUUAAUUGACCCAUUUCCAGUACCUAUGGUCAUAAUUGGAAGUAAAUAUGAUGUUUUUCAGGAUUUUGAGUCUGAGAAGAGAAAGGUGAUAUGCAAGACACUUCGAUUUGUUGCACAUUAUUAUGGAGCAUCAUUAAUGUUUACCAGUAAAUCAGAAGCUCUAUUACUAAAAAUACGUGGAGUUAUCAACCAGUUGGCAUUUGGCAUUGACAAAAGCAAAUCAAUAUGUGUGGAUCAGAAUAAACCGCUGUUUAUCACAGCAGGAUUGGAUUCUUUCGGUCAAAUAGGAUCUCCUCCUGUUCCUGAAAAUGACAUUGGAAAGCUUCAUGCCCACUCACCAAUGGAGUUGUGGAAAAAAGUGUAUGAAAAGCUCUUUCCACCAAAGAGUAUUAACACGCUGAAAGAUAUGAAGGACCCUGCGAGAGAUCCUCAGUAUGCUGAAAGUGAAGUCGAUGAGAUGAGAAUUCAGAAGGAUCAGGCACAUCUAAGGAGAUAACCUAUCAAGAAGCAGGACAAAACAUCAUGUGUUGCGGAUAACCAGGAUUAUUUCCAAGGUGGGAUAGCCUUUAAGAAGCCAUUCCAAUCUGUAGAUUUGUGUACCUGCUAGCCAAGUUCAUUUUGAGCACAGCUUGGCGGCCUGUUAUAGUGAAGACCUUAAUUUAACAGUUCUCUCAAGAGGACGAUUACUGUCUAUUUAUUUUGAUGAGGUCUUCCUCUGUCACCCAGGCUAGAGUGCAAUGGCAUGAUCACGACUCCCUGCAGCUUUGACCUACUGGGCUCAAGCGAUCCUCUCACCUCAGCCUCCCAAGUAGCUGGGACCACAGUGACCAAGCACCAUCUGAAGAACAGGCAGUCCUGGUCUACCACAGUGCAAAGAAAGGAUCCAGAUGCAGUUUGUCCUCUCCAGCUGCAUGAGUGGAGAGGUUUCCCCAGGUGAUGGGGAAAAUGACCAAACCUGGCAGAGGAUUGACUACUCUGUUUUGAUACUCCCUUCCCCACAACAUAUACACUUUUGAGUUUAUCAUUCAAAUUCCUAUUUUAAUUCCUGCCAUUUCAUGAACACCUGUGGUCAUACCAAAACUCAUUGGCUUUCCCCAGCCCACACAGUGGUAUUGCCCUGGUGAGAAGAAAUGAUUGGCAGGGCAAGGCUCCAUAUUCAAGGAAAACCCCAAUGGAACACUUCAAAACCAAUGCAAUGCUUCCGGGUCCACGAGCUGUUUUGUUUGGAUGAUGGAAUCGCAUCAGGAAAUGAACUAUACAGCAUUUCCGAAAAAACUGGGUCCUCAGUUUGAAAAACCUGUGAUUUCAGUUGUACACAAACCCCUUUCCAAAUGAGGACUGUGAAGAAAGGGCCCAAAGUAUCUGCAGACACACAGAAGAUGCCCAGACAGCAGCUAGUAACAGUUCUGGGUGCCACUUACUAGGAUCCUGGAGCAGUUGGGCUGCGAUGGAGACCCGGCGCCGCUCACCAGUGGAAAUGCCCCCCAAGCUGUAGUUGCCAAUCAGUCGGUCUGCCACAUGGCUCAGACUCAGCUCUGCCAUGACGGCCUCCACCUGCAGGAGACACAAAUUACAGGAAGGCUGGGAGUCGCUGUGGCUGCUAUUUCAAUUCAUGGGCUGGGGAGGACAUGAAAGAGGCAGCGCACCCCCCAAGAAUCCAAGGGCCACUUCCAGACUCACCACACCCUGGGGAAAGCAUGUCUUUGAUAAUAAUAUGAUCCAAUUCGGCUUAAAUCGUAAUACAUGUGUCAGAUUUAAAUAAAUAAUAUGAAUUUUUUAAAACGUCCCCAGAGGCUGGGUGCAGUGGCUCAUGCCUGUAAUCCCAACACUUUGGAAGGCUGAGGAGGGAGAAUUGCUUGAGGCCAGGAGUUUG